GAUGAACGCUAGCGGCAGGCCUAAUACAUGCAAGUCGAACGGUAAGGCCCUUUCGGGGGUACACGAGUGGCGGACGGGUGCGUAACGCGUAUGCAACAUGCCUUCCAGCGGGGGAUAUACCAGGGAAACUUGGCGCAAUACCCCAUAGAAUUACGGGACCGCAUGGUCUUGUGAUUAAAAACUCCGGUGCUGGGAGAUUGGCAUGCGUGACAUUAGCUAGUUGGCGGGGUAACGGCCCACCAAGGCGACGAUGUCUAGCUGGUCUGAGAGGAUGAUCAGCCACACUGGGACUGAGACACGGCCCAGACUCCUACGGGAGGCAGCAGUAGGGAAUAUUGGACAAUGGGGGAACCCGUAGAUCCAGCCAUGCCGCGUGAGGGAAGAAGGUCCUCUGGAUUGUAAACCU
Molecule: ribosomal RNA, 406 nt
Filed under: uncultured bacterium
Lineage: Bacteria
Description: bacterial SSU rRNA
Rfam family: Bacterial small subunit ribosomal RNA
Source: RNAcentral